RNAcentral lists this ribosomal RNA (437 nucleotides) under uncultured Fibrobacter sp. RNAcentral's name for it is "partial 16S ribosomal RNA". It matches the Rfam family "Bacterial small subunit ribosomal RNA", at positions 341 to 792 of the family's 1533-position model. Lineage: Bacteria; Pseudomonadati; Fibrobacterota; Fibrobacteria; Fibrobacterales; Fibrobacteraceae. The record is from RNAcentral.
ACGGAAGGCAGCAGUGGGGAAUAUUGGGCAAUGGGCGAAAGCCUGACCCAGCAACGCCGCGUGAGGGAAGAAGGCUUUCGGGUUGUAAACCUCUGUCCUUGGUGACGAACACAAUGACGGUAGCCAAGGAGGAAGCCCCGGCUAACUACGUGCCAGCAGCCGCGGUAAUACGAGGGGUGCAAGCGUUGUUCGGAAUCACUGGGCGUAAAGGGAGCGCAGGCGGAGAUGCAAGCGGACUGUACAAUACCGGGGCCCAACCCCGGACCUGCAGUCCGGACUGCACCUCUUGGAUAGUUCAGGGGCAAGCGGAAUUCCUGGUGUAGCGGUGGAAUGCGUAGAGAUCAGGAAGAACACCGAUGGCGAAGGCAGCUUGCUGGGGACUAAUCGACGCUCAUGCUCGAAAGUGCGGGUAGCAAACAGGAUUAGAUACCCUGGUA